CUCGCAACACCCAAGUGCAAGGGCGGGAUGGGUUUCAGAGAUCCGCACAUGUUUAAUCUUGCUAUGCUGGGAAAGCACGGGUGGCGUUUUUUGACAAAUUCUAACUCCCUAUGUGCAAGAGUACUGAAGGGACGUUACUUCCCUGACACUGAUUUCAUGCAUGCCACUAUGCCUAAGUCGGCCUCGGCCACUUGGAAGGCGAUCAUGGCAGGGAGGCGACCCACACGGGCUUCCUAA
This 237-nucleotide ribosomal RNA is filed under the name Triticum aestivum (bread wheat). Its description in RNAcentral is "partial small subunit ribosomal RNA". The record is from RNAcentral. Lineage: Eukaryota; Viridiplantae; Streptophyta; Magnoliopsida; Poales; Poaceae.